Molecule: long non-coding RNA, 644 nt
Filed under: Triticum aestivum (bread wheat)
Lineage: Eukaryota; Viridiplantae; Streptophyta; Magnoliopsida; Poales; Poaceae
Description: long non-coding RNA (TAES_LNC025811)
Source: RNAcentral
UUCAGUCCUCAUCAUGCAUGCAUGCAUGCUCUGGCAGUAUAAACUCUGGUUAUGUGUUACUUCAGAAAAAGUAUGCAGAGAAGGACUGGGAAAUUCGUAGCAAUUGUAGAAAAAACAGCUAUACACAUCAGAAGCAUUCAGUAUAUGUACAUAGAGAUACAGUGAAAUCUCUAGCCCUACACAUCAGAAGUUGGAAGCUAGACCUCCAUUCUCCAAGGCUUAGGCCCCAACGGAAUAGAUUCCACAUUACAUGUGUAUAUACAUACAGAUUCAGUGACAUUUCUAACCGUACACAUUGGAACUUGGAAUCUGGAUCUCCAUGGCUUUUACUAGAUGCCAAGUGAUCGAUCUACAAUACAUGUUACACAGGGCCAUUGCCUUGUCCUACGCACCGGACUCUAAGAAAGUAGUACUAUGUAUACAAAGAGAUUCAGUGACACUUCCAACCCUACAUUUUGGAACUCCGAAGCUGAGAUCUCCAAGGCUUAGGGUAGGUGACAACGGAUCUAUCCACAGGCCACAAUACAUGCAUGUUGCUCCCUCCGUUUCUAAAUAUAAGUCUUUUUAAACAUUUCAAAUGAAUUAUAACAUACGGAUGUAUGUAGAUAUAUUUAGAGUGUAGAUUCACUCAUUUUGCUUCGCAU